UCUGACUUGUCUCUAACGGCUGUAGCUGUAGCUUGAAGAACCUGCGUGUUCAAUUCAGGUGAUUUUGAACUGGAAUGCACUUGUUAUCCUCCAUCACAAAUUCAACCACCAGGUGGCCUUCAACGAGCAGAAUUCGGCCUUUCCUUGGGUGGCAGUUACAUCAUUGCUGUGGGCCACCUCCGGGGAAUAAGACAUUUGGAAGACAGUUAAUAAAACAAAAAAACACUACCACCGCCAAAACCCGCUACCUAUUUCUGUCCCAUUCAGGGAGAUCUUCUAAGUAAGACUACGAUAUGUAAGCGUACCAGCAUGAUUUUGUAGAAUGCUUAGAAAG
RNAcentral lists this long non-coding RNA (334 nucleotides) under Anser brachyrhynchus (Pink-footed goose). Its description in RNAcentral is "lncRNA (ENSABRG00000019521.1)". The record is from RNAcentral. Lineage: Eukaryota; Metazoa; Chordata; Aves; Anseriformes; Anatidae.